GACGAACGCUGACGGCGUGCUUAACACAUGCACGUCGAAGGGAGUGGCGAACGGGUGAGUCACACGUGAGUAACCUGCCCUUUUCUUUGGGAUAAGCCUGGGAAACUGGGUCUAAUACUGGCUGGAUUGGGAUGGGCUCGCGGCUUAUCGGCUUGUUGGUGGGGUGAUGGCUUACCAAGGCUUUGACGGGUAGCCGGCCUGAGAGGGUGGUCGGUAACACUGGGACUGAGAGACGGCCCAGACGCCUACGGGAGGCAGCAGUGGGGGGUAUUGGACAAUGGACGCAAGGCUGAUGCAGCGACGACGUGUGGGGGAUGAAGGCCUGCGGGUUGUAAACUCCUUUCGCCCGCGGAAUGGUAGUGGGUAAAGAAGCGCCGGCUAACUACGUGCCAGCAGCCGCGGUAAUUC
RNAcentral lists this ribosomal RNA (408 nucleotides) under uncultured bacterium. RNAcentral describes it as "partial 16S ribosomal RNA". It matches the Rfam family "Bacterial small subunit ribosomal RNA", at positions 28 to 526 of the family's 1533-position model. The record is from RNAcentral.